This 257-nucleotide ribosomal RNA is filed under the name uncultured Pseudomonas sp. RNAcentral's name for it is "partial 16S ribosomal RNA". It matches the Rfam family "Bacterial small subunit ribosomal RNA", at positions 96 to 355 of the family's 1533-position model. The record is from RNAcentral. Lineage: Bacteria; Pseudomonadati; Pseudomonadota; Gammaproteobacteria; Pseudomonadales; Pseudomonadaceae.
CGGCGGACGGGUGAGUAAUGCCUAGGAAUCUGCCUGGUAGUGGGGGACAACGUUUCGAAAGGAACGCUAAUACCGCAUACGUCCUACGGGAGAAAGCAGGGGACCUUCGGGCCUUGCGCUAUCAGAUGAGCCUAGGUCGGAUUAGCUAGUUGGUGAGGUAAUGGCUCACCAAGGCGACGAUCCGUAACUGGUCUGAGAGGAUUAUCAGUCACACUGGAACUGAGACACGGUCCAGACUCCUACGGGAGGCAGCAGUC